GGCAGGACGGGACCGGUGAGCAGCUCCUCCAAACAGCUAUAGAGACCCAGAAAUGCCUGUGGAAAGCUACAGAGGACUUGGGCAAGGCGUUAGAGCCGGACGUUGUGGUCCCUGGGGGAGCCAACCGGGGAGGGCAAGCAGUUAAGAAGGGAAGAUGAACAUAAAGUAGGGAAGAGCAAGAAUGAAUUGGAACCUAAGACACGAGCUGGUCAUUCUUUCACUGUCUCCAACUUUAAAGAUAUGAGUAUCCUUGCUAGAGGAGCUGACACUCUUUGCCACAGGACUAGACACACACACGGCUCAGGAAUCAAAAAAGGUGAAGGAAGACUCAGGGAAAAGCUUCUGCCCCAUCCCAACAAGGUGAACCAGCUGAUUGGUGACAAAGUAGAUGAGCCGCAGUAGCACCUAGUGUCCCUGCACCACCGUUUCAAGUAUAAAACUGGAGGGAUGCUUCAGUUCUCCCCUUCAAGACUUACACAACCAUGUCUCUGUUGGGCUAUUCUAACCAGAAACAAAAGGAAAGGAAAUUCUGGGAAACAUAGUUUAGCUUAGCAAAGUUGAUACAUUACAAAAUUACCACUGUCCACUCUGCAUCGAGUUGACAUCCAUACAGACCUCUUUAAAACACACUUUCAAAAUAAAGCCCACACCCUACACAUAAGCUAUCUCUAGAGAAAUUUGAAGUCUGUUGUGCACUGAGGAUAACCACAACAACAAACUGUAAACCUAGCCCAAUUUCUGACUAGACUGAUACCACCGAACCACCGCUAUGCACUCAAGAGCACUAAAGGCCUAGCAGAAGGAAAGACACACUCAUCUCCAAGCAUAAAAACAAUCUUUACUUCAUACUGUGAAGAGAGAAUUGAAAAAAUAAUUUAAGCAAAAAAAAUACAACAUGACCAACUUCUAACAGAAAGAAAAAAAGACGCAUACAGAAAGGCAAGAAAAAACACAGUCCAAAGAGAUAAAACAAUCAUUAGAACCAGAUUCAUAAGACAUAGACAUUAGAAAUAUCAGAGAAUUUUAAAUAACUGUGAUUAAUGUGAUGAAGGCCCUAAGGGGAAAGGUGAACAAAAUGCAAGCUCAGAUGGGUGAUUUUAGCAAAUAGAUGGAAACUAUCAGGAAAAAUAAAAUGGAAACUAUAAAAAUAAAAAAAUAUAAUAAUAGAGAUGAAGAAUGCCCUCCAUGGGCCCAUUAGGAGACUCAACACAGUUGAGGAAAAAAUCAGACUUGAAGGUAGGUAAAUAGAAAUUGCUGAAACACACACACACACACACACACACACACAAAAAGAGUGACAGAAACAGAACACAGCAUCCAAGACUGGUGGGAAAAUAUCAACAUCAAAUCAAGAAAUAGGCGCAGUGGCUCACGCCUGUAAUCCCAGCACUUGGGGAGGCCGAGGCAGGCAGAUCACGAGGUCAGGAGAUCGAGACCAUCCUAGCUAACGCAGUGAAACCCCGUCUCUAGUAAAAAUUCAAAAAAAUUCCCAGGCAUGGUAGCAGGCACCUGUCGUCCCAGCUACUUGGGAGGCUGAGGUAAGAGAAUUGCGUGAACCCGGGAGGCGGAGCUUGCAGUGAGCUGAGAUCACACCACUGCACUCCAGCCUGGGCAACAGAGCAAGACUCUAUCUCAAAAAAAAAAAAAAAAAUCAAGAAAUAAUGGCUGAGAAUUUCCAAAAUUUGUAAGACACCAAACCAAUCCAAGGAGCUCAGAGAACACAGAGCAGGAUAAAUUCUUUAAAAAGAAACUAAGCUUAUUGUAUUCAAACUAAGCUUAUUGUAUUGAUACCUGGUAGUUAUAACUUACCAAAUACACUGCCCAACAUCUCCAGAUGAUCUAUUAUUUCUGAAAGUUUCCUUUAUUACAUUUCUUACUUCAGGGAGAUAUAGCCUUCGCUUCAUGUUAUGGUCAGUGGUGCAGUCAGUAUUCUCAGAAAGAAAGUACUGGUUCCAUUUUACCUCCAUCUUUUGUUUCCUGUCAGAAAACCUACCAUACCACCAAGUACUCCUUCUCUACACUGCCUCUGAUAUUUAAGUAAUUUGAGAAUUCUGUUGAGACUAUCUCCCUUUUUUGGUAUGAUGAAUCUGGUCCUAAAUUGCAUGCCAAAGACUUUGAGAACUAAACUGUAGACCCAGAUCUCAUGUCCCAGACUGGCCUUUUGUUACCCACACAAUGAAUGGGUUAAAUUGCUUGGCAGGGGACAGUCCAAUGACCACAACCAAGGAGGAUUUCCCAGGGGGAUUUUAUUACUUGCGAUAAGUAAGGAGGACACUGGGGAAUAAUUCCCCAAAGCAAUGCCUCCCUGAGCAAUGGUGCAAACAUGGCUUUUAUUAGUCUGGUUAGCUGAGUCAUUGUAUGUAGAGGUGGAGUCAAGGCAGCGCAGUCCCAGUUGUCGGUCAUGCUGCUACAUAUGUCACAUGUAUAGAAAAUGGUGAAUAAGCUCCUCCUUGGACAGGAUUUUAAGUAUGGUGAUGAGGAAAGUUGGCCAAAGUUCAUCUCCAACUCAGGCAUCUCUGGGUCCAACUGGUCUUUGUUUUUCCUGGGCUAAGCUUCUUCCUGGAACUUUUUAAAACAAAAAUUCAAGAUGUAACAGUUACAAGUGUGUAACUUUUUCACAGUGCGUACCCAAAAACCCAAGGACCCUGGGUUACACUUUAGGUGCCACCCAUGUGGGACCUAUCAGAAGAGUACUACAAAGGCUUUGAAAACUGAACUGACAUUGGAACCACAACCCUCAGAAGGCUGGUCAAAACUUAUGACUUGAACCCAAGUGGGUUAAUUACCUUUUAAAACAUAAAUAUCAACAUCCUCCACCAAAUUUAACCAAGACCCAGAGCAUCCUAAUGACAUUCAAAAUGUCCAGGAUACAAUCGAUAUUAAUUGGCAGGUGAAGAACCAGGAAAAUCUCAACUCACGUUGGGAAAAAAUGUAACAGAUGCAGAAUGUAAGUUGCCACACAUGUUGGAAUUAUCAAGACUAUAAAGCUGCUAUUCAAAUGGAAAGUUUAAAAGUCUCAGAGAAGUAAUAGAAAAUAUAAAGAAUAGCCCCAUGGAAAUUUUAGAACGGGAAAAUACAAAAACCGUCAUCACAUCAUAUCCGGGGCACAUGCUGUCAACAUUGCUUAUCACUGUUGAUGUUAACCUUGAUCACCCGGCUGAGGUAGUAUUUGACGGGUUUCUCCCCUGUAAAGUUAUUCUUUCCCCUCCCCCUAUUUUACUGUUUAGUGGGAAGUCACUAUGUGCAGCCCAUGCCUAAAAAGGGAGUAGUUGGUGGGCACGGUGGCUCACGCCUGUAAUCCCAGCACUUUGGGAGGCUGAGUGGGUGGAUCACCUGAGGUCAGGAGUUCGAGACCAGCUUGGCCGACAUGGUGAAACCCCGUCUCUGCUAAAAAUACAAAAAUUAGCCAGGCAUGGUGGUGCACGCCUGUAAUCCCAGCUAUUCAGGAGGCUGAGGCAGGAGAACUGCUUGAACCUGGGAGGCAGAGAUUGCAGUGAUCCUGCCAUUGCACUCCAGCCUGGGCGACAAGAGCAAAAUUCCAUCUCAAAAGAAAAAAAAAGUGAGUAGUUAUAUUUCCCCUCCUUGCGGUGGAGUAUCUACAUUCUUCUGCAUGAGAAAUUUGUCAGUUAUCUCCUAUUUAUUCAAUUAUUUAUAUUAUGAACUCAUGGAUUCCUAUUUUAUACUUUGGGUAUAAUCCAAUACUAUGUUGUUUAUUUUACUGCUCAGAUUAUUCCUGUGUUGGCCAUUGGGAACUUU
RNAcentral lists this long non-coding RNA (3756 nucleotides) under Pan troglodytes (chimpanzee). RNAcentral's name for it is "long non-coding RNA NONPTRT015781". Lineage: Eukaryota; Metazoa; Chordata; Mammalia; Primates; Hominidae. The record is from RNAcentral.